Molecule: ribosomal RNA, 460 nt
Filed under: Plectostoma laidlawi
Lineage: Eukaryota; Metazoa; Mollusca; Gastropoda; Architaenioglossa; Diplommatinidae
Description: partial large subunit ribosomal RNA
Rfam family: Bacterial large subunit ribosomal RNA
Source: RNAcentral
CCUGACUGUGCAAAGGUAGCAUAAUAACUUGUCUUUUAAUUGGAGGAUGGAAUGAAUGACUUGACGAAGAUAUAGCUGUCUUAUAAAUAUUUAUUAAAACUUAAUUUUUAAGUUAAAAAGCUUAAAUAAAAUUAAGGGACGAGAAGACCCUGUUAAGCUUAAAAAAUUUUAUCGAUUUAUAGUUAUAUAAAAAUAUGAUAUCAAUAAAGAAAUUUUAGUUGGGGCGACUUGGGAGUAAAAUAAACCUCCUUGAGUUUGAUAAAAUUUAAUAUUAGGUCCAAUACGUUUGAGCUAAGAACAAGCUACUACAGGGAUAACAGCGUAAUUUUAAUUGAGAGUUCUAAUCGAAAAUAAAGUUUGCGACCUCGAUGUUGGAUUAGGGAAUAGUAAAGGUUGCAAAAGCUUUUAUAAAUAGUCUGUUCGACUAGUAAUAUCCUACAUGAUCUGAGUUCAAACCGGA